UUUUAUGCGAUUUAUUAAUACAGUUAUAGACAACUGCAAACCAAUGCUUCUAGAUCAACCAAAUUUUCCCUAUAUUGACAACUAAAAGAUGGCCAAAUCAGUUUUAUUGAAUAGCUAAGUAAACAAGUUCUCAUUAAAAUAAGUCAUGUAUGCAGCAAAGCAUGCCACAUGAGGUUGGAAUCUUAAAACUUGCAUGUUCUCUAGAAACAGCAAUGACAAAGAAUCAACAAUAUCUCAUCACGUGCAGUAGGUUUCUAUUCAAAUCAGAGAUCUCCAUGAACAUAAGCAGCAAAUAACCCAUUCAUCCACAUGUAGCGUUCACCAUAUAACUAUUAAUGCAACAGGUACACUUCCAUAUAUGUCAAACUCCAAAGUCAUUAACGAUUUAACGUGAUUUCCCAACAUAGAUGAUUUUUCAAUCAAAAUUUCCCAUUUCCCCCAUAGUUAACCCACACCAAGAAA
This 462-nucleotide unclassified non-coding RNA is filed under the name Hevea brasiliensis (rubber tree). The record is from RNAcentral. Lineage: Eukaryota; Viridiplantae; Streptophyta; Magnoliopsida; Malpighiales; Euphorbiaceae.